ACGCUCGACACCUACGGAGGCAGCAGUGGGGAAUAUUGCACAAUGGGGGAAACCCUGAUGCAGCGACGCCGCGUGAAGGAAGAAGUAUCUCGGUAUGUAAACUUCUAUCAGCAGGGAAGAAAAUGACGGUAUCUGACUAAGAAGCCCCGGCUAACUACGUGCCAGCAGCCGCGGUAAUCUGAGCGGCUGGCAAGGC
Molecule: ribosomal RNA, 196 nt
Filed under: uncultured bacterium
Lineage: Bacteria
Description: partial 16S ribosomal RNA
Rfam family: Bacterial small subunit ribosomal RNA
Source: RNAcentral